GGAUCAAGAAAAGAAUGUGGCCACCUUCCAAGGCUCAGAGUAGCUGUGCAAUGACUUGUGUCAAAACCCGAUCCAGAGCAGCAGUGAUGAAAUCACCCUCUCCUUUAAGACCUGGCAUUACAAUGGCCUCAUCCUGCAUGUGGGCAAGUCAGCUCUCUGAUGGAUGGUGCAAUUUCCUUGGUCAUUAACCUGAGGUCUGGGGCCUUUAAAGCUAUUGAGGAGCCAGUGAAUGGAGAAUUCGACAACGCCUGGCAUGAUUGAGGGUGACACAUCACGG
RNAcentral lists this long non-coding RNA (277 nucleotides) under Homo sapiens (human). Its description in RNAcentral is "non-protein coding lnc-TUBA8-1:1". The record is from RNAcentral. Lineage: Eukaryota; Metazoa; Chordata; Mammalia; Primates; Hominidae.